This 493-nucleotide ribosomal RNA is filed under the name uncultured bacterium. RNAcentral's name for it is "partial 16S ribosomal RNA". It matches the Rfam family "Bacterial small subunit ribosomal RNA", at positions 28 to 506 of the family's 1533-position model. The record is from RNAcentral.
GACGAACGCUGGCGGCGCGCUUAACACAUGCAAGUCGAACGGAAAGGCCUGCUUUCCCUUGUGGAUUGCGGGUACUCGAGUGGCGAACGGGUGAGUAACACGUGAGUGAUCUGCCCCCAACUUGGGUAUAAGCCUGGGAAACUGGGUCUAAUUCCCGAUAGGACUGCAGGGUGGUGCCUGUGGUGGAAAACGAUUUUCUAGUGGUUGGGGAUGAGCUCGCGGCCUAUCAGCUUGUUGGUGGGGUAAUGGCCUACCAAGGCGGCGACGGGUAGCCGGCCUGAGAGGGUGGACGGCCACAUUGGGACUGAGAUACGGCCCAGACUCCUACGGGAGGCAGCAGUGGGGAAUAUUGCACAAUGGGCGGAAGCCUGAUGCAGCGACGCCGCGUGGGGGAUGACGGCCUUCGGGUUGUAAACUCCUUUCGACCGCGAGGAAGCCACCUGGUUGGAAGGGUGGUGACGGUAGUGGUAGAAGAAACACCGGCUAACUACGU